GGAUUGAUGAUGAUGACUUAAAAAAUAGAUCUCAUUGGAAUCUAAACAAAACGAGUGACCAAACCACUUCUGUAAAAUGAGGUCC
Small nucleolar RNA from Ictidomys tridecemlineatus (thirteen-lined ground squirrel), 85 nucleotides. Its record names the gene SNORD116. It matches the Rfam family "Small nucleolar RNA SNORD116". Rfam says of the family: HBII-85 is a member of the C/D class of snoRNAs, which contain the C (UGAUGA) and D (CUGA) box motifs. HBII-85 is encoded in a tandemly repeated array with another C/D snoRNA, HBII-52, in the Prader-Willi syndrome (PWS) region of chromosome 15. Unlike most other snoRNAs, HBII-85 is expressed prevalently in the brain (but is absent in PWS patients) and lacks any significant complementarity with ribosomal RNA. Lineage: Eukaryota; Metazoa; Chordata; Mammalia; Rodentia; Sciuridae. The record is from Ensembl.